AUUUGAUAUUUUUUUACAUCAGAGUUUAUCCCACAGUCCCCCAUCUCUCCCUCCUCCUUCCCUCCCUGUCUCCUUCUCUCUUUCUCACUGUCUGUCUCUCUGGUUUUCUUUUGCUGCUUCUUCCCUUCUGGUUUCUGGUAGCAGGCCUCCAUUGAACUGUUGUAAAAUACAAGAAGUGUGGUCAGUAAGGAGAGUUGGGGUGGUGCCUUCCAGCCUGCCCGCCAGUCCAUCCUAGACACUCCCAGAGGCUGCUAGCUCCGCCCCUCUGGCAUGGCUUUCCUUUCCCAUCGCCUUCGGAGGCCAUUUUGUCUUGAAGUCAAUGCAUGCUCGUGCUGUUCGACAGUAACCUACUCUGCCUUCUCCACCUCCGAGGCUGUGCAUUCAUCCAAUUAGUGUCAUGAAUGUUUCCCCUUUAUUUUUCCAAUAAAAAAAAGCAGUGGGAUGAAAAUUGCUUUGAUAUAUAGCAGGUAUAUUGAAGCUAUUCCAUAGCACUUAACUGUAGUGAAUACUGUGUCACCAGUUCUGAAAUCAAUUUAAUGUUUAAUGCAAAUCCAUUACAUGGUGCUAUUACAGGCUGACAAAAUGAUUCACACGAAUGUGACAACUCGGGCUCAGUUCACUCUGCUUCCCAACAGUGUAAAUGCAUAGCAGUGUUUACCUGCAUGAGAACUAUGCACUAAUCUAUCUGAAGAAAAAAAAAAACUAUAUCAACUUUGGUAUCUACUUUCCGUUUACUUCAAUCCUUGCCUUUUUGGUCAUUGUUAUAAUGCCAGCUUUAGGACAGAAAGAAUUAUAAGAAAACCAGCAUAAUACCUGAUAUAUUAAAAUGUAGUGCCUGUGAAACCUGUAUUAUACUGCUCUUCUGAAGUAAGACUUUUCUACACCGGUAGCCUUCGCUGUCUGUCAGUCAGGACCUCUGGUAUAGGUGAUGUAAAAUAACCGUACAAUAUUAUGCAUGCUAUCCCAUAAUGCUUAGUGACUGUAUGAUAUUACUCAGAGUUCUGUUAGACUUUUUUUCUGCCUCGGUUCUUAUCGGCUAGGUUUGAGGUAUUUCACUGAGAACGUGAACUCGGUCUUCCUUCCAGCUGUCGUCAGGAUCUUGGAGGUGUACACUUACUUAAAUUCAGUAUUACUUGUGUGUGUUUUCAUUUUUUUGUUGUUGUUUUUUGUUUUUGUUUUGUUUUGUUUUUUGUUUUGUUUUGUUUUCUUUUGUUUCUCCUAAGGGACAAGCAUGGGUGUUUGAUUUCAGAAAUCAGUAUCUGGUGAGAUUUUUGUCUCAAAACUACCAUUUGAAUUUCAAGAACUCUGCUGCAAAACCACUCUGAGAAUGUUUCCAAGUGAGAGUCACUUUCUUGACCCUCAAGAGAAGCUAGACGACACAGAAGAACCUUAAUGGACAGUGUACCCAUGCUUGAUCUGUCUCACACCAGACUUCCUUGUAGUAAAAAGAAAAACAAAACAAAACAAAAGAACUUUAAGAAAUCACUUAGCUGUUUAGUUACAUGCACAGAUGCAAUAUUUUCUUCAAAAAUAUAACUCUGUACAAACUUUGGGCCCGAUUCAUAAGAAAGAAGUUUGCUAUUAACACGGGAUUUUAAAAAAUAUGCUCUCUCUCUCUCUGCUCUCUCUCUCUCUCUAAAUUUGGAUAUAUUUUCUUCCCAAAUUGAAUAUUUCCUUUGUUUAACUCCCCCCCCCCCCAAUAGCACCCAUUUGCCUCUCAUUCUCCCAAGGGUUGCAUUAAGGAAGUUGGAGGGAUGCUAUAUGGGGACUGGAUCCCAGUAAGGCUCACAAGGCUAAGGGGAACUUAAGUAUGGGAUACAGCACAUGGAUGCACCCCUCUGUGUGUCAGGCAUCCUCCAUGUGGACUCACUGUGCUGUUGGGACUGAAACACUAACUUUGUAAAAUGUGUCUGGACCACAAGAGGAUACAGGAGAAGUGCUACCUCUGAUCUAACUAGAGCAAGCUCAUGGCAGAAAAUAUCACAAACUUUAAAAUGUGAAGAUUCCUGUCUCUCCCGUGGUUUUAAAGGCAAGUGGUGUCCAAGAAACAGAGCAUCCUUCCUGCCGUUCAACGCUCAGCUUUUCCGAAAACCUAAAGCUUGUGUUCUCUUUGCUUUGACUGCAAAUUGUACUGCUCUUGUUUUUUUAAUUUUUUUCUUGGUCAUGGUCUGUAAAUUUGCUUUUUUUCUUUCUUUCUUUUUUAACCUGUUAUUGUCCACUAAAGGUCUUAGAUGUCUGGCCAUGUGAGAAUGCAGUAAGGGGGCUGCCAGCUCUCUUCUCCCUCAGACCAUUGUCUCCCCGCUGAACUCGGCUGCCUUGCCACCGAGGUGCCAGCCAGGCUAGAGGAGUGCCAGCAGGUCCCAGUAGGUCCUUAGGAAGGCUGUCAAGGCCCAGUCCAUGGUUCCUUCUCUGCUUCUCCUACAUACCUUUCCCAUCACACAUGAAAAAAGAAAAAAACAAAUCUGCUCAGAGUGCCUCUGGUUUCUUUUCAAAUUGUGGGGGGAAGGAUUAAAAACUUCAAAUGAUGGAAAAAGAGAUCUCUUGUGAAACGAAACGCCCCGUGUUAAUAACUUGGUCUGAAAUUGUUUUUAUGAGCCGGGCCCCCUGUGCCUCUAGCAUAUGUGUAUUGACUCUCAUAGUUACCCUUUUCGUUUACUGUGUUCUGUGAAAACUUGUAAUUGGUUGAGAAUCACUGUGGGCGUCCAUUCUUAUCAACUAAAUCUCCACAGGGUUUUUGUGCUGGUGUGGAUUAGUUUAACUCUUGUAUUCAACCGUUAGUGCUACCACCUUCUCACAUUACAAUACAAUUACUGGAAGCAAGUACUGCAUUUCCUAUGCAACAAAAAAAGG
Molecule: long non-coding RNA, 2850 nt
Filed under: Mus musculus (house mouse)
Lineage: Eukaryota; Metazoa; Chordata; Mammalia; Rodentia; Muridae
Description: long non-coding RNA chr4:98115993-98118843
Source: RNAcentral